Musa acuminata subsp. malaccensis (wild Malaysian banana) is the source of this 1279-nucleotide long non-coding RNA. RefSeq lists it as uncharacterized. NCBI's taxonomy places the organism in Eukaryota, Viridiplantae, Streptophyta, Magnoliopsida, Zingiberales, Musaceae. The record is from RefSeq and is a predicted model, not a curated record.
UGAAAGAACAAGAUUGCUACUCCAAUGACUCUACUCGACUCUAUCGCAUUAAAAUAAUGAUUCAGCAAGGGCAGAAGUGGAUGUCAAUUUUUGACUGGUGACUAAAAAAUGUGGACAGUGGCCUUUAAACUUUACUCUCUUUUCUUUGGAUCUUUUAUCAAGUUGCAGAGCUCACAGGAAGUUGUGGCCACCAAAGUCUCCUCCUCCUCCUCCUCCUCUUUACCCAAGUCGUAUUCCCCUGCCUCUCUGUGUUGUUUCGAGUCCUUUGGAAGGUUAGCAUUUGAUAGAGGAGAACUCAGAAGCAAUGGGGGUCCGCAGGCUGGUCCCACUUACAUUGGUUCUAUCCUAUUACAAGGCUGGCAAGUGAAACCGGAGGUCAAGGACUUCAUGCUGCACAUGAACAAUGGUUGACCUAUGCUUUAUGGUAUUGUUACAAGUCUUGAAGGUCGGACAAUUCAUUAUUUGCAAAGAAUUUUCAAGCACCAAGCAGAAAAUAUUAUUCCGCAAAGCCUUCAUAACAUGGUGGUGCCAAGAUGUGCAAGCGAUGCUGUUCGACAAGCACCGAUCUGAAAAUUUCUAGCAAUCUUUGCCUGUUUGAAUCCCUCCAAAGAUUUGAUGCUCAGCUUAUACCACGGAAAUCUUGUUGCAACACACACCAAAGAAUUCCCUGGUUUGACUACGGAGCUUGUUCUUCAUGAACCUCAUUCUCAUUUCUAUCUUAUGGUGCUGGCUAUGCGUUUGCAUAUUUAGAUGGCGAAUGAUGACACUCCAUAUUUGUGGUACCACAUGGCAUUGUUGCUUGCUUGGAUGCUGUCCAAGUAAAGGUCUGUUCAUUGAAAGAAAGACCUUGUUUCUACCAAAUGCUGGUGCUGAUGACACUGGAACUAUUAUCUACAAAAAUUUCUCUUGUUGCAUUGGGAAUUCCCAUUGCUUGAAUAAAUCGAUAGAAUGAUUCAAAUUAACUAUCAAAUGCAUUCUACAUUCCUAGCACAGACAAGAAGUGAGAUUAAGUAUCAACGUUUCCAUUAAUGAUGUUGAUGUUGAGGCUUUUGAUGUGGGGAAUCUCCAAAUCUGUGAAGUUAGAGAAUGGAGGGGACCGUUUUGUUUCCCCCACAACAUUGAAGAUGACUUCCAACUGCAUCCCAAUGUGCGUAACCUCGAAGCCCAGCGACGACCAUCUCGAGAUUACGGCUCUUGAAGCAUGACGGCGACAGCAUCGACGGGGAAAACUACUAGUAAAGCAUUUAUUGCAGCAUGAAUGAAGAAUCCUUCAGAAAAG